This is a non-coding RNA of Podarcis lilfordi (Lilford's wall lizard), 70 nucleotides long. NCBI's taxonomy places the organism in Eukaryota, Metazoa, Chordata, Lepidosauria, Squamata, Lacertidae. The record is from the annotation of a GenBank genome assembly.
GGAUAGCGCAGCUGACUAGAGCGUGGUGCUGGUAACACCAAGGUUACAGGUUUAAUCCCUGUAAGAAACA